CCUUAGAUGUUCUGGGCCGCACGCGCGCUACACUGACAGAGCCAACGAGUAUAAACCUUGCCCGAGAGGGUUGGGUAAUCUUGUUAAACUCUGUCGUGCUGGGGAUAGAGCAUUGCAAUUAUUGCUCUUCAACGAGGAAUAUCUAGUAAGCGCAAGUCAUCAGCUUGCGUUGAUUACGUCCCUGCCCUUUGUACACACCGCCCGUCGCUACUACCGAUUGAAUGGCUCAGUGAGGCUUUCGGACUGGCUCAGGGAGGUCGGCAACGACCACCCAGAGCCGGAAAGUUAGUCAAACUUGGUCAUUUAGAGGAAGUAAAAGUCGUAACAAGGUUUUGAGAUUAUCUGAGAGAUCCUUCUCGCAGUGACGCAUCCCGGAAGCCUUUGUGACCCUGCAAAACGGGUACCUGCCGCGACUAUAAAGAAGAAUGUUAGGUAUGAAAUCGCAAGUCAUUUGAUGGCUACACUUUCGAAUUGCGGGGACUCCCUAAAGCCUUUUCCACCAAGCCGGUAAGCAAACUUGCCGGUGGCCCGAUUAAUUAUCAGGGGUAUGGUAACAGAGAAAAUGGAUGAACAAUGGGUAAUCCGCAGCCAAGAUCCUACCGCAAGCACUUGCUACGGAGAAGGUUCACAGACUAAGUGGAAGUGGGUUGGCCUUCACACAGGCAACUUAAGAUAGAGUCGGGCCCUUCGAGAAAUCGUUGGGGAGUCACUAUUGACUACCGCACCGUUCCGUAGGUGAACCUGCGGAAGGAUCAUUAAGAAACUUCUUAGCAGUCAACCGUCACCGGUCUUGACAGCGCCUUUGCCUUGACUUCGGUCCUGGCCUAGGUUAAACCCUUUGUGAACCAUAACAGAACAUUUCGCUUCGGUAGCAGGUGCCUCUCACCGGGUGCCGUCAGCCUGCCGGCAGCAACCAAACCAAACCCUUUAUGUUUAAAAUAUAUUGUCUGACCGAAAUUUUCGAAUGAAAAUUAAAACUUUCAACAACGGAUCUCUUGGUUCUCGCAUCGAUGAAGAACGCAGCGAAACGCGAUAGUUAAUGUGAAUUGCAGAAUUCAGUGAAUCAUCGAGUCUUUGAACGCACAUUGCGCCCCCUGGUAUUCCGGCGGGCAUGUCUGUUUGAGCGUCAUUUCAACACCUCGUCCUUUGGCUUCUGUCAACAGGUAACAGUCAUGGGCUUUCGUCACCCGCUUCGGUGGGGACGGGCCUUAAAGUUGAACGCUCUGCGGGUGACUCAUAGCCAAACCGAACUAGUAAAUCUUUAUCUGUUGGGUGAGGUAAGAGGAUCGCUUCGCCUGAACAAAACCAUUACAUUUCUAAGGUUUGACCUCAGAUCAGACAAGGAUACCCGCUGAACUUAAGCAUAUCAAUAAGCGGAGGAAAAGAAACCAACAGGGAUUGCCUUAGUAACGGCGAGUGAAGCGGCAACAGCUCAAAUUUGAAAUCUGGAGUCUUCGACUUCCGAGUUGUAAUUUGAAGAGGAUGCUUCGGUUGUAGCUCCGGCCUAAGUUCCUUGGAACAGGACGUCGCAGAGGGUGAGAAUCCCGUACGCGGCUGGCGGCUUACUUCCAUGUGUAGCUCCUUCGAAGAGUCGAGUUGUUUGGGAAUGCAGCUCUAAAUGGGUGGUAAAUUUCAUCUAAAGCUAAAUACUGGCGAGAGACCGAUAGCGCACAAGUAGAGUGAUCGAAAGAUGAAAAGCACUUUGAAAAGAGAGUUAAACAGUACGUGAAAUUGUUGAAAGGGAAGCGCUUGCAAUCAGACUUGCUUGCGGUUGAUCAACGUUCCUUUUGGUUCGUGCACUCUGCCGUUCGCAGGCCAGCAUCGGUUGCCGCCGUGGGACAAAGACUCAGGGAAUGUGGCUCUCUUCGGGGAGUGUUAUAGCCCUGUGUGUAAUGCCACGAGCGGCGACCGAGGACCGCGCUUUUUGCUAGGAUGCUGGCUUAAUGGUUGUAAGCGAC
Molecule: ribosomal RNA, 1958 nt
Filed under: Orbilia myriosphaera
Lineage: Eukaryota; Fungi; Ascomycota; Orbiliomycetes; Orbiliales; Orbiliaceae
Description: eukaryotic LSU rRNA
Rfam family: Eukaryotic large subunit ribosomal RNA (bases 1325-1958)
Source: RNAcentral